CCCUUAGAUGUUCUGGGCCGCACGCGCGCUUCACUGAUGCAUUCAACGAGUCUAAAACCUGGUCUGAUAGGGCUGGGUAAUCUUUUGAAUGUGCAUCGUGAUUGGGAUAGAUGAUUGCAAUUCUUCAUCUUCAACGAGGAAUGCCUAGUAAACGCAAGUCAUCAGCUUGCAUUGAUUACGUCCCUGCCCUUUGUACACACCGCCCGUCGCUCCUACCGAUUGAAUGUUCCGAUGAAUACCAUGGACUGAGAGUAUGAAUGGGUUCGCCUAUUUCUGCUUCUCGGGAAGUGGAGUAAAUCUUAACAUUUAGAGGAAGGAGAAGUCGUAACA
Molecule: ribosomal RNA, 330 nt
Filed under: uncultured eukaryote
Lineage: Eukaryota
Description: partial 18S ribosomal RNA
Rfam family: Eukaryotic small subunit ribosomal RNA
Source: RNAcentral